UUCCGGUUGAUCCUGCCGGACCUGACUGCUAUCGGAUUGAUACUAAGCCAUGCGAGUCUUUGCAGUAAUGCAAGGCAUACGGCUCAGUAACACGUAGUCAACUUACCCUAUGGACGAGGAUAAUCUCGGGAAACUGAGCAUAAUACUCGAUAGAUCAUAAUGCCUGGAAUGGUUUAUGGUUGAAAUGAUUCGUCGCCAUAGGAUGGGACUGCGGCCUAUCAGCUUGUUGGUGAGGUAAUGGCCCACCAAGGCGAUUACAGGUACGGGCUCUGAGAGGAGAAGCCCGGAGAUGGGUACUGAGACAAGGACCCAGGCCCUAUGGGGCGCAGCAGGCGAGAAAACUUUGCAAUGUGCGAAAGCACGACAAGGUUAAUCCGAGUGAUUUCUGCUAAAGAAAUCUUUUGCAAGUCAUAAAACCACUAGUGAAUAAGGGGUGGGCAAGUUCUGGUGUCAGCCGCCGCGGUAAAACCAGCACCUCA
Molecule: ribosomal RNA, 479 nt
Filed under: uncultured marine group I thaumarchaeote
Lineage: Archaea; Thermoproteati; Nitrososphaerota
Description: bacterial SSU rRNA
Rfam family: Archaeal small subunit ribosomal RNA
Source: RNAcentral